UUAGAGACUCACGUGAUGUUUAUCUUAGAUGAUGGUGUAUAACCGGCUUGGUUCAUUUAUUUGGAUGUAAUUAUAUAAAUAGGUGUGUAAUUCAACCGCUGCUGUUCUUCUGGUGUGUUUGACCUGGGUUUACUGGGUUAAGCUUAGGCUUGUUGUUUCUCGGUUUGACGCUGAAGUGGUCUGGGAGUCGGGGCCGAUGGUAUGGGUGAGCAUGGUUAGUCCUGAGCCGUGGCCUGCACGACACGUCAUUGCUCUCUGAUGGCUUAACUUUUAUUACGGUGAUUUGUCAUGUAUCGGGUCGGGAGAACCACUUUGUGUGAGCGAUUUUGGUUUGAAAUUUCCUCUGUUACCGUAUUAAUAACGUCAUUGUUGUGUACUCAAAACUCAUGUUUAGCACGGGAGAUUUGCAUACGGUUUAUGCGAUGUCUGUAAUUGCACAGGGGACUUUAUGUUGUGCUAAUUUUGGUUUGUUGCUGGUGUUAGAAGUAUAUAAA
This 494-nucleotide long non-coding RNA is filed under the name Hordeum vulgare. RNAcentral's name for it is "long non-coding RNA (HVUL_LNC021036)". Lineage: Eukaryota; Viridiplantae; Streptophyta; Magnoliopsida; Poales; Poaceae. The record is from RNAcentral.